Molecule: non-coding RNA, 287 nt
Organism: Lepisosteus oculatus (spotted gar)
Lineage: Eukaryota; Metazoa; Chordata; Actinopteri; Semionotiformes; Lepisosteidae
Source: RefSeq, a predicted model, not a curated record
GUCAAAGGAACGCACGUCCAAAGGACAUAUUUGAGUGGACCUGGGCAACCGCAGCACCACAGUUUUUAAAAGAAGCUCAUGUCUUCUAGAUACCCCUUACCAUCUUCAGGAUAGUUUCAACACCCAUCCUGGCUAUCCUGUGCUUCAGUUCUCCUGGGACGCCUUGAGUAAGAUAACUGGAAAUGGGCUGACUCUCCUAAAAGAACAAAAAAGGCUGAGCCACUUCAUCCCGGGAAGAAAGCCAACCAGCCUGCUACCCAGCUUCAUGAGGAGCAGGUCUAUCUGCA